RNAcentral lists this transfer RNA (73 nucleotides) under Candidatus Vecturithrix granuli. Its description in RNAcentral is "tRNA-Lys(ttt)". It matches the Rfam family "tRNA". From Rfam's summary of the family: Transfer RNA (tRNA) molecules are approximately 80 nucleotides in length. Lineage: Bacteria; Candidatus Moduliflexota; Candidatus Vecturitrichia; Candidatus Vecturitrichales; Candidatus Vecturitrichaceae. The record is from RNAcentral.
GCCUCCGUAGCUCAGAGGAAGAGCAUCCGCCUUUUAAGCGGAGGGUCGGGAUAUCGUAAUUCCCCGGGGGCAC